This 885-nucleotide long non-coding RNA is filed under the name Rattus norvegicus (Norway rat). RNAcentral describes it as "long non-coding RNA NONRATT004992". Lineage: Eukaryota; Metazoa; Chordata; Mammalia; Rodentia; Muridae. The record is from RNAcentral.
UGAAGAGUAAAAAUCCGUUUUAUUUAAUACAACUCCCCUCAGGGGCCCUCUAGCCGGGUGGCUGAGGGAAGGCAAUGGGGGUUAGGUAUGAGAUUCCAUGGCAAAAUGGAGGCAGCUCCCAUCCGCCCACUCAAGCCACCCUCGGAAACAGCUCAGACCUCUGGAGACUGUUUCUUUAGCAGGGAAUAAAUAAAGAAAAAUUAGUGAGAAAAGUACACGUUUUCUUUUACUAUUAAAAAAAAAAAAAAAAACAAAAAAAACAGAAGGCCACUGUAGCCAACAGUUUCUCUUCCUUGGGCCUUCAGCACGGAGUGGAAAAGAAAGCAGUUUAAGGAUGUCUGCCCUCGCUCCAGUCUCGAGUUUUGCCAUUGCCGGCUUGAGGCCUGUCUUCAAAUGACCAUUCCGCGGGCAUUGCUCCCAGUCAGCUGCUGCCCCUUUGUGUGUGUGUGUGGGGGGGGGGGAGGCCAUGCAGGGGACCAGGCAAACCUGAGAAGCACUGUACACCUCCAAAGAUCAAGGUCAGACCAGAAAGAAAAAGAACAAAGAAACAUAACAAAACAAAAAACUAACCCAGUAUUUGACGGCAGCAGAGCAGAAAGCGGCUUCUGCGCGGGAGGACCCACCAAGAAGCACUCUGUCGAUCCGAUCCGAGACACAACAUCUGAGCCUCAAAACACUCCAGGGCGGAUUCUCCUGGAACCUCCUCUCACCUCCCAAAAAUGCAAGGAUGUUCCAGUUUAGAAGACAGGCUGGGUGGGCUGGCCAUUAAACAGCGCCUCCCAUUCUCUGCACACCCAACAUUAACAAGGCAGGAGGGAUUUACAAUUGGAUGGCUUGGCCUGAAGGAGUGCUACUUUGGGUGGGGACAGGGCUGGUUCAUAAAUA